ACCUGAUAGUGAGAGCUUUGUCUGUCUCCGGGGCUACAACCCGGCACCUGACCUCGGCCACACUACCUGUGACA
This 74-nucleotide transfer RNA is filed under the name Dixonius taoi. Its description in RNAcentral is "tRNA-Tyr". The record is from RNAcentral. Lineage: Eukaryota; Metazoa; Chordata; Lepidosauria; Squamata; Gekkonidae.